RNAcentral lists this ribosomal RNA (500 nucleotides) under uncultured bacterium. RNAcentral describes it as "partial 16S ribosomal RNA". It matches the Rfam family "Bacterial small subunit ribosomal RNA", at positions 30 to 523 of the family's 1533-position model. The record is from RNAcentral.
AUUGAACGCUGGCGGCAUGCCUUACACAUGCAAGUCGAACGGCAGCACGGGAGCAAUCCUGGUGGCGAGUGGCGAACGGGUGAGUAAAGUAUCAGAACGUGCCCAGUCGUGGGGGAUAACGUAGCGAAAGUUACGCUAAUACCGCAUACGAUCUAUGGAUGAAAGCGGGGGAUCGCAAGACCUCGCGCGAUUGGAGCGGCCGAUAUCAGAUUAGGUAGUUGGUGGGGUAAAGGCUCACCAAGCCGACGAUCUGUAGCUGGUCUGAGAGGACGACCGGCCACACUGGGACUGAGACACGGCCCAGACUCCUACGGGAGGCAGCAGUGGGGAAUUUUGGACAAUGGGCGAAAGCCUGAUCCAGCCAUGCCGCGUGCAGGAUGAAGGCCUUCGGGUUGUAAACUGCUUUUGUACGGAACGAAAAGGUUUGGCCUAAUAAGCUGAGCUCAUGACGGUACCGUAAGAAUAAGCACCGGCUAACUACGUGCCGGCCGCCGCCGUAA